CUGGCGGCAUGCCUUCACAUGCAAGUCGUUCGGCAGCACGGGGGCAACCCUGGUGGCGAGUGGCGAACGGGUGAGUAAUACAUCGGAACGUGCCCUGUAGUGGGGGAUAACUAGUCGAAAGAUUAGCUAAUACCGCAUACGACCUGAGGGUGAAAGCGGGGGACCGCAAGGCCUCGCGCUACAGGAGCGGCCGAUGUCUGAUUAGCUAGUUGGUGGGGUAAAAGCCUACCAAGGCGACGAUCAGUAGCUGGUCUGAGAGGACGAUCAGCCACACUGGGACUGAGACACGGCCCAGACUCCUACGGGAGGCAGCAGUGGGGAAUUUUGGACAAUGGGGGCAACCCUGAUCCAGCAAUGCCGCGUGUGUGAAGAAGGCCUUCGGGUUGUAAAGCACUUUUGUCCGGAAAGAAAUGGCUCUGGUUAAUACCUGGGGUCGAUGACGGUACCGGAAGAAUAAGCACCGGCUAACUACGUGCCAGCAGCCGCGGUAAUACGUAGGGUGCGAGCGUUAAUCGGAAUUACUGGGCGUAAAGCGUGCGCAGGCGGUUUUGUAAGACAGGCGUGAAAUCCCCGAGCUCAACUUGGGAAUGGCGCUUGUGACUGCAAGGCUAGAGUAUGUCAGAGGGGGGUAGAAUUCCACGUGUAGCAGUGAAAUGCGUAGAGAUGUGGAGGAAUACCGAUGGCGAAGGCAGCCCCCUGGGACGUCACUGACGCUCAUGCACGAAAGCGUGGGGAGCAAACAGGAUUAGAUACCCUGGUAGUCCACGCCCUAAACGAUGUCAACUAGUUGUUGGGGAUUCAUUUCUUCAGUAACGUAGC
Molecule: ribosomal RNA, 819 nt
Filed under: Cupriavidus sp. A3MAP619
Lineage: Bacteria; Pseudomonadati; Pseudomonadota; Betaproteobacteria; Burkholderiales; Burkholderiaceae
Description: bacterial SSU rRNA
Rfam family: Bacterial small subunit ribosomal RNA
Source: RNAcentral